CCAGCAGCCUCAGGCAGACCCCGCCCCACACAGGACGGAGCUCCUUCCACCCCCCUCACACCCACCUCUCACACAGCGAACACAUCCUCACCGAGACCGGUCACUGGCAUGGAGCGCGAACGUAAGGUCAGCAUGCGGCUUCAUCGUGGCGCCCCAGUGAACGUGUCGUCCUCGGACCUGACGGGGCGUCAAGACACUUCCCGCAUGUCCACAUCACAGAAUAGCAUUCCCUUCGAACACCACGGCAAGUAGUUGAUCGUCACAUCCUUGUGUGAAGGCAGAUACACCAGGUGAGUUUGAUUAGCUUGUGUUAA
Molecule: long non-coding RNA, 314 nt
Organism: Sinocyclocheilus rhinocerous
Lineage: Eukaryota; Metazoa; Chordata; Actinopteri; Cypriniformes; Cyprinidae
Exons: 3
Source: RefSeq, a predicted model, not a curated record